Molecule: long non-coding RNA, 998 nt
Organism: Poecile atricapillus (Black-capped chickadee)
Lineage: Eukaryota; Metazoa; Chordata; Aves; Passeriformes; Paridae
Exons: 3
Source: RefSeq, a predicted model, not a curated record
AGCAGCUACCUUUAAAUUGCUGCCUGUAAUUAUUGCAGAAUUCCUGCAGCAUGAGAGGGGAACAGCUGGAAUUACUGCCUGGAAUUACUGGCUGGAAUUAUGUGGAAUUAUGCAGAAACUCUGGUGACCAGGAGAAAGCAGCUGCUGACAGGUACUUCUGUCUCACCCCAGCAGGUGCUACAUUAACUCACCCCAUAAACAACACAUCCCGUGACACCAAAUCCAUCCUGUGACUCCAAAUCCAUCCAGCUCUACCAGGUUUAUUUGAUGAAGGAAAGCCAGAAGGCAAAUGAUGGGAUGGUUUGGCCAUGAACAGAAUGACAGCUUUGAAAAGGAUUUUCCCAAAAUUCCACUUUUGCCUCUGAAAGCAGCUCCUGAAGGGAAGUUGUUGCCUCUGAGGUGCCACAGAGCCUUUAAGGACAAGGAGAUGUUGAUCCUAAUCCAGAGGAAUUGAAGAUUUCCCUAGAGGCUUCCAGGCACAGGACCAUGAGACAUCAACAGCUCCACUAAUGCUGGAAACAGGAAGGAGAGAGAAGCUCCAGGAACACCCCACUGCAGCUGGGACAGAGCAUGGUCAGCCUCACAGGGCAGCACCUCCCACAUCCCAGCCCUGGGACACAGGGAAAAGCAGAGACUGGGAAAAUGGAAAUGGUUGAUGGGUUUGCUGCUGAGCCAGGGAUGUGCCUGUGCUCAUUCCUGAUGCCCUGAGCUCCUCCUGAAGCAAGAGCAGCAGGAAGAGCAGGGGCAGGGAGUGGCUGUGGUGCCUGGCAAAGGGGACAGCCCAGGUUCCAAACCCCAGGGUAGAGCCUCUGGCUCCAGGAGCGCUGCAGAGAUGGGAUGGUGCUGCUGCAAGAGGAUUGUGGCACCUCCUGCCUGUGGAACUCUGACCUGGGGCUGCUCCUGCCUCUCCUCCUCACCUUUAUCUCCUCAUCUGCGGGAUACAAAGGAGAGGAAAACCCAGGGAUGAGCUGUCUGCUGCUUGGUUGCACAAGGACACA